Molecule: long non-coding RNA, 312 nt
Organism: Melanotaenia boesemani (Boeseman's rainbowfish)
Lineage: Eukaryota; Metazoa; Chordata; Actinopteri; Atheriniformes; Melanotaeniidae
Exons: 3
Source: RefSeq, a predicted model, not a curated record
AAGGUGGAAAAGGAGGCUACACUGACAUCUUUUGCAGACUUCAGAUCCAUGCAGAUGGUCAACUCCAUGGACUCAGAAACCGCAAGAGAUCAUCUUCUUCAUUUUGAUGUGGUGAAGAAUGUUCUUCUGGGCAAUGUGAUGGCUCAUCAGAGCAUCCAUGGUCUACCAGCCAGAAUCUUGUCCAACUUGCUCCUACUCCUCGUCUUGGUGUUUUCAGCCCUACUCUGCAUCAGGCAAAGAUUGGAGAUGCUGUUCAGGGAGAUGCCUGACUUAAUUAUCUGGACUUGGCUUAGCCUGAAAAAUUGCAGCGUU